AGAGUUUGAUCCUGGCUCAGGAUGAACGCUAGCGGCAGGCUUAAUACAUGCAAGUCGAACGGUAACAGGUGUAGCAAUACAUGCUGACGAGUGGCAGACGGGUGAGGAACACGUACACAACCUCCCUCUUACUGGGGCACAACUCCGAGAAAUCGGGGCUAAUUCCCCAUAACAUUUCGAAAGGGCAUCUGAUCGAAAUUAAAACUCCGGUGGUAAGAGAUGGGUGUGCGUCUGAUUAGCUAGUUGGUGAGGUAACGGCCCACCAAGGCGACGAUCAGUAACUGGUGUGAGAGCACGACCAGUCACACGGGCACUGAGAUACGGGCCCGACUCCUACGGGAGGCAGCAGUAAGGAAUAUUGGUCAAUGGACGCAAGUCUGAACCAGCCAUGCCGCGUGAAGGAUGAAGGUCCUCUGGAUUGUAAACUUCUUUUAUCAGGGAAGAAAUGUCUCGUUUCUACGGGAUUUAACGGUACCUGAGGAAUAAGCACCGGCUAACUCCGUGCCAGCAGCCGCGGUAAUACGGAGGGUGCAAGCGUUAUCCGGAUUUACUGGGUUUAAAGGGUGCGUAGGCGGGUCUUUAAGUCAGUGGUGAAAUCCUCCCGCUUAACGGGAGAACUGCCACUGAUACUAUUGAUCUUGAAUUCAGUUGAGGUGGGCGGAAUGUGUCGUGUAGCGGUGAAAUGCUUAGAUAUGACACAGAACACCGAUUGCGAAGGCAGCUCGCUAAACUGACAUUGACGCUGAGGCACGAAAGCGUGGGGAUCAAACAGGAUUAGAUACCCUGGUAGUCCACGCCCUAAACGAUGAUUACUCGAUCUGUGCGAUACACUGUACGGGUCUAUGCAAAAGCAUUAAGUAAUCCACCUGGGGAGUACGACCGCAAGGUUGAAACUCAAAGGAAUUGACGG
RNAcentral lists this ribosomal RNA (910 nucleotides) under uncultured bacterium. RNAcentral's name for it is "bacterial SSU rRNA". It matches the Rfam family "Bacterial small subunit ribosomal RNA", at positions 8 to 916 of the family's 1533-position model. The record is from RNAcentral.